This is a long non-coding RNA of Neopsephotus bourkii (Bourke's parrot), 548 nucleotides long. RefSeq lists it as uncharacterized. NCBI's taxonomy places the organism in Eukaryota, Metazoa, Chordata, Aves, Psittaciformes, Psittacidae. The transcript is spliced from 2 exons. The record is from RefSeq and is a predicted model, not a curated record.
UUUAUCUGAAAUGCUUAUACUUAAAACAUGAUUUUUUGAAACAUUAAUAUGAAUGAGUCUGCCUUGGUGAAGCAGUAAUAAACGUCAUACUAAGGAAAUUGAAUCUCAAGAGACAUAAUGAAUAUUAAGUACUUGCAGGAAACUCAUCUGUUUUUCCAUUUAUGGACAGAUUUACAUGCAAAGCUUCUACUGAAGCUACUUGUAAGUUAACAUUGACCAGCUAUAACAAUAUAGAAAAUUGGAGUGCUGAAGAAAGUAGCAUUUUCCAGCUGUUAAAAUUUUGCAGGUACCAAAGGCAGAGAAAAUGCCCUCAGAAUUUGCCUUAAUUGUCAACUCCACAAUUAGCUCAGCUGGCAGACUGUUUCCUGCUGGGAACUGGAAGGAGCCUAAGCAUUAUACAGAGAUCAGAAACAAAUACUUUUUAAUAUGGCAACUCUUAUAAAAAAAAAAAAGCACAAGAAAGAAAAAUAAAAAAGCAAUGAAGCAAUGUAGGCUGGACCCCUAUGAUUUUCAAAUAAACAUAAUUUACUUUUAUAUAUUUAAACUUU